This 2892-nucleotide ribosomal RNA is filed under the name Acinetobacter baumannii. Its description in RNAcentral is "23S ribosomal RNA". It matches the Rfam family "Bacterial large subunit ribosomal RNA". Lineage: Bacteria; Pseudomonadati; Pseudomonadota; Gammaproteobacteria; Moraxellales; Moraxellaceae. The record is from RNAcentral.
AGUCAAGUAAUUAAGUGCAUGUGGUGGAUGCCUUGGCAGUCAGAGGCGAUGAAAGACGUGAUAGCCUGCGAAAAGCUCCGGGGAGGCGGCAAAUAUCCUUUGAUCCGGAGAUGUCUGAAUGGGGGAACCCACCUACUUUAAGGUAGGUAUUGCAACAUGAAUACAUAGUGUUGCAAGGCGAACGAGGGGAAGUGAAACAUCUCAGUACCCUUAGGAAAAGAAAUCAAUUGAGAUUCCCUCAGUAGCGGCGAGCGAACGGGGAUCAGCCCAUUAAGUUAUGUGUGUUUUAGUGGAACGCUCUGGGAAGUGCGAACGUAGAGGGUGAUAUUCCCGUACACGAAAGGGCACACAUAAUGAUGACGAGUAGGGCGAGGCACGUGAAACCUUGUCUGAAUAUGGGGGGACCAUCCUCCAAGGCUAAAUACUCCUGACUGACCGAUAGUGAACCAGUACCGUGAGGGAAAGGCGAAAAGAACCCCUGUGAGGGGAGUGAAAUAGAUCCUGAAACCGCAUGCAUACAAGCAGUGGGAGCACCUUCGUGGUGUGACUGCGUACCUUUUGUAUAAUGGGUCAGCGACUUAUAUUCAGUAGCAAGGUUAACCGUAUAGGGGAGCCGUAGAGAAAUCGAGUCUUAAUAGGGCGUUUAGUUGCUGGGUAUAGACCCGAAACCAGGCGAUCUAUCCAUGAGCAGGUUGAAGGUUGGGUAACACUAACUGGAGGACCGAACCCACUGUCGUUGAAAAGCCAGGGGAUGACUUGUGGAUAGGGGUGAAAGGCUAAUCAAGCCUGGUGAUAGCUGGUUCUCCCCGAAAGCUAUUUAGGUAGCGCCUCGGACGAAUACCAUAGGGGGUAGAGCACUGUUUCGGCUAGGGGGUCAUCCCGACUUACCAAACCGAUGCAAACUCCGAAUACCUAUGAGUACUAUCCGGGAGACAGACUGCGGGUGCUAACGUCCGUAGUCAAGAGGAAAACAAUCCAGACCGCCAGCUAAGGCCCCAAAAUCAUAGUUAAGUGGGAAACGAUGUGGGAAGGCAUAGACAGCUAGGAGGUUGGCUUAGAAGCAGCCACCCUUUAAAGAAAGCGUAAUAGCUCACUAGUCGAGUCGGCCUGCGCGGAAGAUGUAACGGGGCUAAAACUAUGUGCCGAAGCUGCGGAUGUUACUUUGUAUACGUGGUAGGGGAGCGUUCUGUAAGCCGAUGAAGGUGUGUUGAGAAGCAUGCUGGAGGUAUCAGAAGUGCGAAUGCUGACGUGAGUAACGACAAAACGGGUGAAAAACCCGUUCGCCGAAAGACCAAGGGUUCCAGUCCAACGUUAAUCGGGGCUGGGUGAGUCGACCCCUAAGGCGAGGCCGAAAGGCGUAGUCGAUGGGAAAAUGGUUAAUAUUCCAUUACUUCUGUGUAAUGCGAUGAGAGGACGGAGAAGGCUAAAUCAGCCUGGCGUUGGUUGUCCAGGUGAAAGGAUGUAGGCAUGUAUCUUAGGCAAAUCCGGGGUACUCUAUGCUGAGAUCUGAUAGCAAGCUGUACUUGUACAGCGAAGUGGUUGAUGCCAUGCUUCCAGGAAAAGUCUCUAAGCUUCAGUUACACAGGAAUCGUACCCGAAACCGACACAGGUGGUCAGGUCGAGUAGACCAAGGCGCUUGAGAGAACUCUGCUGAAGGAACUAGGCAAAAUGGUACCGUAACUUCGGGAGAAGGUACGCUGUUGUUGGUGAUGGAACUCGCUUCCUGAGCUGACGACAGCCGCAGAAACCAGGCCGCUGCAACUGUUUAUUAAAAACAUAGCACUCUGCAAACACGAAAGUGGACGUAUAGGGUGUGAUGCCUGCCCGGUGCUGGAAGGUUAAUUGAUGGGGUUAGCGUAAGCGAAGCUCUUGAUCGAAGCCCCAGUAAACGGCGGCCGUAACUAUAACGGUCCUAAGGUAGCGAAAUUCCUUGUCGGGUAAGUUCCGACCUGCACGAAUGGCAUAAUGAUGGCGGCGCUGUCUCCAGCAGAGGCUCAGUGAAAUCGAAAUCGCUGUGAAGAUGCAGUGUACCCGCGGCUAGACGGAAAGACCCCGUGAACCUUUACUGCAGCUUGACACUGAACUUUGACCUUACUUGUGUAGGAUAGGUGGGAGGCUUUGAAGCUGGAACGCUAGUUCCAGUGGAGCCGUCCUUGAAAUACCACCCUGGUAAUGUUGAGGUUCUAACUCUGUCCCGUGAUCCGGGACGAGGACCGUGUCUGGUGGGUAGUUUGACUGGGGCGGUCUCCUCCUAAAGAGUAACGGAGGAGUACGAAGGUGCGCUCAGCGUGGUCGGAAAUCACGCGUAGAGUAUAAAGGCAAAAGCGCGCUUAACUGCGAGACCCACAAGUCGAGCAGGUACGAAAGUAGGUCUUAGUGAUCCGGUGGUUCUGUAUGGAAGGGCCAUCGCUCAACGGAUAAAAGGUACUCUGGGGAUAACAGGCUGAUACCGCCCAAGAGUUCAUAUCGACGGCGGUGUUUGGCACCUCGAUGUCGGCUCAUCUCAUCCUGGGGCUGAAGCAGGUCCCAAGGGUAUGGCUGUUCGCCAUUUAAAGAGGUACGCGAGCUGGGUUUAGAACGUCGUGAGACAGUUCGGUCCCUAUCUACCGUGGGCGCUGGAAAUUUGAGAGGAUCUGCUCCUAGUACGAGAGGACCAGAGUGGACGAACCUCUGGUGUACCGGUUGUGACGCCAGUCGCAUCGCCGGGUAGCUAUGUUCGGAAGGGAUAACCGCUGAAAGCAUCUAAGCGGGAAGCCUACCUCAAGAUAAGAUUUCCCUAGGACUUUAUGUCCUCUAAAGAGCCGUUCGAGACUAGGACGUUGAUAGGUUGGAUGUGGAAGCAUAGUGAUAUGUGAAGCUGACCAAUACUAAUUGCUCGUGAGGCUUGACUAU